Molecule: ribosomal RNA, 1242 nt
Filed under: metagenome
Description: bacterial LSU rRNA
Rfam family: Bacterial large subunit ribosomal RNA
Source: RNAcentral
UGAAUACGAGACGCUAAGGCGUCGAAGUAGUGUAUGUCAUACUUCCAAGAAAAGCUUGCACUGUCAUAGAUAAAAAACGCCUGUACCAUAACCGACACAGGUGGGUAGGUAGAGUAUACUAAGGGGCGCGAGAUAACUCUCUCUAAGGAACUCGGCAAAAUAACUCCGUAACUUCGGGAGAAGGAGUGCCUUAUUUUUAAGGCUGCAAUAACAAGAUCCAAGCAACUGUUUAUCAAAAACACAGGUCUCCGCUAAGUCGUAAGACGAUGUAUGGGGGCUGACGCCUGCCCAGUGCCAGAAGGUUAAAGAAGUUGGUUAGCUUUUGCGAAGCUGAUAACUGAAGCCCUGGUGAACGGCGGCCGUAACGAUAACGGUCCUAAGGUAGCGAAAUUCCUUGUCGGGUAAGUUCCGACCCGCACGAAAGGCGUAAUGAUUUGGAUACUGUCUCGGAGAGGGGCUCGGUGAAAUAGACUUGUCUGUGAAGAUGCGGACUACCUGCACCAGGACAGAAAGACCCUAUGAAGCUUUACUGUAACUUGAAAUUGAAAUUGGACUUUAUUCGCGCAGCAUAGGUGGGAGGCGUUGAUUAUAAUCUCGUGGGAUUAUUGGAGCCAUCAGUGAGAUACCACUCUUGUAAUGUUAGAUUUCUAACUUUGAAUCAUUAUCUGGUCAAAGAACAGUUUCAGGCGGGCAGUUUGACUGGGGCGGUCGCCUCCUAAACGGUAACGGAGGCGUACAAAGGUUUCCUCUGAACGGUUAGAAAUCGUAUCUAGAGUGUAAAGGCAUAAGGAAGCUUGACUGUGAGACCUACAAGUCGAGCAGGGACGAAAGUCGGUCUUAGUGAUCUGACGGUACUGAGUGGAAAGGCCGUCACUCAACGGAUAAAAGUUACUCUAGGAUAACAGGCUGAUCUCCCCCAAGAGUUCACAUCGACGGGGAGGUUUGGCACCUCGAUGUCGGCUCAUCGCAUCCUGGGGCGGUAGUACGUCCCAAGGGUUGGGCUGUUCGCCCAUGAAAGCGGUACGCGAGCUGGGUUCAGAACGUCGUGAGACAGUUCGGUCCAUAUCCGGUGUAGGCGUUAGAAUAUUGAGAGGAGCCUUCUUUAGUACGAGAGGACCGAGAAGGACAUACCUCUGGUGUACCAGUUAUCGUGCCAACGGUAAACGCUGGGUAGCUAUGUAUGGAGUGGAUAACCGCUGAAAGCAUCUAAGUGGGAAGCCCACCUCAAGAUAAGUAUUCUCA